RNAcentral lists this ribosomal RNA (255 nucleotides) under Salmonella enterica subsp. enterica serovar Montevideo. Its description in RNAcentral is "partial 23S ribosomal RNA". It matches the Rfam family "Bacterial large subunit ribosomal RNA", at positions 526 to 783 of the family's 2925-position model. Lineage: Bacteria; Pseudomonadati; Pseudomonadota; Gammaproteobacteria; Enterobacterales; Enterobacteriaceae. The record is from RNAcentral.
CCGGCGAGGGGAGUGAAAAAGAACCUGAAACCGUGUACGUACAAGCAGUGGGAGCGCCCUUUGGGGUGUGACUGCGUACCUUUUGUAUAAUGGGUCAGCGACUUAUAUUCUGUAGCAAGGUUAACCGUAUAGGGGAGCCGGAGGGAAACCGAGUCUUAACCGGGCGUUAAGUUGCAGGGUAUAGACCCGAAACCCGGUGAUCUAGCCAUGGGCAGGUUGAAGGUUGGGUAACACUAACUGGAGGACCGAACCGAC